UGGAUUCCGUUCAUAUAUACAGAAAAUACAAACAUAUAUCCAGUAAAAUGGAUGUUAAAAUAACACUAUCAGAUCUAACCUCUACCACAUAAUGAACAAAUCAACUUGACAGAAACCGCAAAGCAACAAAGUAGACAUGAUCAAGCUAAAGAAGCCCAAAUAUUAAAGAAAUACCAAGAAAUAUCAACCAAACAAUAUGAAACAAUAACAGAGCCUGACCCGGAACUGCACCGGACCCUCCAUUUCCCACAGUGCAAGGUCCUAAUUUGGCAACACGAACACCAGCACAGUGAGCAUCGGGACAACCACACCAGUAGGUAACUCCAUCGACACCGCAAACCGGGUCGGGUCGGAAGCAAUUGAUGGGGCAAGAAUCGGUCGGAAAUGGAGUUCUAGGACAUUUAUCUUCGUCGUCUUGAUGAGAAGGUAGUGGAUUUAAACCGUUUAAACAGACAGUAAUGGACAAAAAGAUGACAGCAAAUAGCAGAAUUUGGAGAUGAAAUUGGGAUUUUCUCAACUCUGAUUUCAUUGAUAAAGCUCCUCUAAAGUCUAAGAAGCUCAAUUUCACCAAAAUUGAUGAUACAGAGAAACCCUAAUUGAGGAAAUCG
This 608-nucleotide unclassified non-coding RNA is filed under the name Hevea brasiliensis (rubber tree). The record is from RNAcentral. Lineage: Eukaryota; Viridiplantae; Streptophyta; Magnoliopsida; Malpighiales; Euphorbiaceae.